AACGUAGGAGGCGAGCGUUAUCCGGAUUUACUGGGCGUAAAGCGCACGCAGGUGGCUCGAUAAGUUGGCUGUGAAAGCUCCUGGCUUAACUGGGAGAGGUCGGUCAAGACUGUCGGGCUUGAGGUUGGGAGAGGGGUGUGGAAUUCCCGGUGUAGUGGUGGAAUGCGUAGAUAUCGGGAGGAACACCAGUGGCGAAGGCGGCACCCUGGCCCACACCUGACGCUGAGGUGCGAAAGCGUGGGGAG
RNAcentral lists this ribosomal RNA (245 nucleotides) under uncultured bacterium. RNAcentral's name for it is "partial 16S ribosomal RNA". It matches the Rfam family "Bacterial small subunit ribosomal RNA", at positions 524 to 768 of the family's 1533-position model. The record is from RNAcentral.